RNAcentral lists this ribosomal RNA (432 nucleotides) under uncultured bacterium. RNAcentral's name for it is "bacterial SSU rRNA". It matches the Rfam family "Bacterial small subunit ribosomal RNA", at positions 44 to 507 of the family's 1533-position model. The record is from RNAcentral.
AGGCCUAACACAUGCAAGUCGAACGAGAAGCGUUUCCUUCGGGAAAGUGGAAAGUGGCAGACGGGUGAGUAACGCGUGGGAACGUGCCUCUCGGUUCGGAAUAAUCAGGGAAACUUGGGCUAAUACCGAAUACGACCCUUCGGGGGUAAAGAGUUUAUCGCCGAUGGAUCGGCCCGCGUCAGAUUAGCUUGUUGGUGAGGUAAAGGCUCACCAAGGCGACGAUCUGUAGCUGGUCUGAGAGGAUGAUCAGCCACACUGGGACUGAGACACGGCCCAGACUCCUACGGGAGGCAGCAGUGGGGAAUAUUGGACAAUGGGCGCAAGCCUGAUCCAGCCAUGCCGCGUGGGUGAAGAAGGCCCUAGGGUUGUAAACCCCUUUCAGCGGGGAAGAUAAUGACGGUACCCGCAGAAGAAGCCCCGGCUAACUCCGUG